RNAcentral lists this ribosomal RNA (816 nucleotides) under Triticum aestivum (bread wheat). RNAcentral describes it as "partial small subunit ribosomal RNA". The record is from RNAcentral. Lineage: Eukaryota; Viridiplantae; Streptophyta; Magnoliopsida; Poales; Poaceae.
AUGGGCAUUCCUACGGCCUAUAUAAGCUGCUCCGCGCCCGCUAAACCCUCCACCCCUCUCGCCAGUCUCCAGCAGCUCCAAGCUCAAUCCAUCGCCUCCACCAGGCUCCAGUACCGCGCCCGCCUCGCCUCGCAAGAGGCUUCCUCGACCUCUCCUUCAAGCAGCGGAGACCGGAGCCUACGCGGGGCUUCGCGCCAGGAGCUGGCUAACCAUCAGCAGACCCUCGCGGCGGCGCCGGCGCCGGACGCGGAGCUGGCCGGGGAGACGGAGGAGCAGCGCGGCAAGUUCCUCGUGCUGCGCCUCUACGAGGCGCUCAACGCCCGCGACGCGCGCCGGGCGCAGGAGCUGCUCGCCCCGGACCUCGAGUGGUGGUUCCAUGGCCCGCCGGCGCACCAGCACAUGAUGCGCCUCCUCACCGGCGCAGGCACCAACGCCGAGUUCAGGUUCUCCCCCCGCUCCGUCGACGCCUUCGGCUCCACCGUCAUCGCCGAGGGGAGCGCGGACGGCGCCGGCCAGCUCCUCUACUGGGUGCACGCCUGGACCGUCGGGCCCGAUGGGGUGAUCACUCAGCUCAGGGAGUACUUCAACACCGACCUCACCGUCACCCGCCUCUCCGCCGCGGCGGCCACCAACAACGCCAGCGCGGGCUCCCCUAGCCACUCCUCCUCUUCUUCUGCCUCUUCCUCCCCCUCCUCGUCUACGUCCUCGGGCCUCUCCUCGCCGGCGCACACGCCCAAGUGGCCCAAGUGCCUGUGGCAGAGCCGCCGCAGCGACCGCGCGCGCAAGUCGCUGCCGGGCCUCGUCCUCGCCAUCUAA